RNAcentral lists this ribosomal RNA (424 nucleotides) under uncultured Bifidobacterium sp. Its description in RNAcentral is "bacterial SSU rRNA". It matches the Rfam family "Bacterial small subunit ribosomal RNA", at positions 251 to 685 of the family's 1533-position model. The record is from RNAcentral. Lineage: Bacteria; Bacillati; Actinomycetota; Actinomycetes; Bifidobacteriales; Bifidobacteriaceae.
GGUGAGGUAACGGCUCACCAAGGCUUCGACGGUAAGCCGGCCUGAGAGGGCGACCGGCCACAUUGGGACUGAGAUACUGCCCAGACUCCUACGGGAGGCAGCAGUGGGGAAUAUUGCACAAUGGGCGCAAGCCUGAUGCAGCGACGCCGCGUGAGGGAUGGAGGCCUUCGGGUUGUAAACCUCUUUUGUUUGGGAGCAAGCCUUCGGGUGAGUGUACCUUUCGAAUAAGCGCCGGCUAACUACGUGCCAGCAGCCGCGGUAAUACGUAGGGCGCAAGCGUUAUCCGGAUUUAUUGGGCGUAAAGGGCUCGUAGGCGGCUCGUCGCGUCCGGUGUGAAAGUCCAUCGCUUAACGGUGGAUCUGCGCCGGGUACGGGCGGGCUGGAGUGCGGUAGGGGAGACUGGAAUUCCCGGUGUAACGGUGGA